AUUCAGUUUGAGGAGUUAUUUAAGGGCAUGCUCUUCUCUUCUGUGUUUUUCUCGAUGAUGUCUACUUUCAGGGAAAAUGUGAUUGCAUCCUCCAGAUCAAAGCUACUAAAAAAGAAUGUCUAUAAAGAAGAUUUUAGGCACAUGACAGUUACGGUUCGCAUGCUUCCACAAUCCGUUCUUUCUGAGAAAGCAAACAAGAAUCUCCUGUGUCGACCCAGCACUUAGUUCUAGCAGAGGCAGUUGAAGGUGGAGAAGAAAUGCAAUGGUUAUUGUUCCCCAUUUAACCUAGGGCUGGGAGUCCAUUGGCCAUAGCGAACACUGCAGUGAGGGACAUCCAUCCCGGCUGGUGGGAAGAACGAGCGGCCAAUUUAACAUCACACGGAAGCAAAACACCAUUAAUCUAUGCAUGGAAUGAAUCAACAUUGGAUCUCCCAAGAGCCAGGGAAAGCGGGGGGAGGCUCAAAGCAGGACACGCUAAAGCAGCAGCACAUUUUCCCCCCUCAGAGCCUGUGUGUUCAUUGGACCGUGGAAAGAACCUUCCAGAGCCCAGCGCAUUUCCUGAGACUGCCAGCCUGGAAGGAGCUGGGGAAGGAGAUGGGUGCCAGGGGAAGAAACGGAGAUCACACUCAGAAGGAUUCAGCAACUCAGGUGUGGGGAAGUCAGGUGCGGCCUUUGGAGAAGAAUUACACCCUCCAAAGCCAAGCUGAUGACGCUGCCGUAGACUUGUGGGAGCUGCAGACGACGGGAGAAAGAUCCCAAGAGAACAGCUCGUCUGGGGUCAGGAUGCGUGAGCGGGUGCGGCUUCCCAACACGGAACCACAGUCAGGCUGGUAG
This 834-nucleotide long non-coding RNA is filed under the name Mustela putorius furo (domestic ferret). RNAcentral describes it as "lncRNA (ENSMPUG00000027664.1)". The record is from RNAcentral. Lineage: Eukaryota; Metazoa; Chordata; Mammalia; Carnivora; Mustelidae.